This 468-nucleotide ribosomal RNA is filed under the name uncultured bacterium. RNAcentral describes it as "partial 16S ribosomal RNA". It matches the Rfam family "Bacterial small subunit ribosomal RNA", at positions 28 to 507 of the family's 1533-position model. The record is from RNAcentral.
GACGAACGCUGGCGGCGUGCUUAACACAUGCAAGUCGAACGGAGAGGCGCUGCUUUUGUGGGUGGCUCGAGUGGCGAACGGGAGGGGAACGCAACAGUAGCCUGCCCUGGACUUUGGGAUAACUUCAGCGCACGGGGGCGAAUACCAUAUAGGAUCUCCUGCUUCUGUGGCGUGGUGGGAAUGUGUCGGCGGUUGGGGAUGUAGUCGCGGCUUAUCAGCUUGUUGGUCGGGUAGGUGCUGACCAAGGCUUUGACGGGUAGCCGGCCUGAGAGGGUGACCGGCACGAUUGGGACUGAGAUGCGGCCCAGCAUCGUACGGGAGGCAGCAGUGGGGAAUAUUGUACAAUGGGCGGACGGCUGAUGCGGCAACGCCGUGUGCGUGAUGACGGCCUUCGGGUUGUAAACCGCUUUCGCCUGUGACGAAGCUUGAGUGACGGUAAUGGGUAAAGAAGCACCGGCUAACUACGUG